Molecule: unclassified non-coding RNA, 408 nt
Filed under: Hevea brasiliensis (rubber tree)
Lineage: Eukaryota; Viridiplantae; Streptophyta; Magnoliopsida; Malpighiales; Euphorbiaceae
Source: RNAcentral
CAGCAAAGAUGAUAAUUUGAACCAUGUACAUGCUGAGGAAAAAAUGUCGAAGAUCGAUCACAUAUCUAGUUUUCUGCCCACAUCUAGACGGAUUGUGCAAUUUUCGAAUGGAAAGGGGCCUGGGCCAAAUGCUCGAGUUGUGUAUAUUGAUGGUGCGUUCGAUCUUUUUCAUGCUGGCCAUGUGGAGAUUCUUCGAAGUGCCAGACAGCUUGGAGAUUUUCUCUUAGUCGGAGUUUACACUGACGAGACUAUUAGCGAACUUCGUGGACAUCAGUAUCCACUGAUGAAUCUGCAUGAGCGCAGUCUUAGUGUACUUGCCUGCCGCUAUGUUGAUGAGGUCAUUAUUGGUGCCCCUUGGGAAGUGACCCACGAUAUGGUAACAACUUUCAAUAUUUCUGUGGUUGUACA